RNAcentral lists this ribosomal RNA (462 nucleotides) under uncultured bacterium. RNAcentral describes it as "partial 16S ribosomal RNA". It matches the Rfam family "Bacterial small subunit ribosomal RNA", at positions 28 to 507 of the family's 1533-position model. The record is from RNAcentral.
GAUGAACGCUGACAGAAUGCUUAACACAUGCAAGUCAUUGGCGAAGCUGCGCUUGCGCAGUCUAGCCAAGGCGGACGGGUGAGUAACGCGUAAGGAACUUGCCCUGCAGACAGGGAUAACAGACGGAAACGACUGAUAACACCUGGUAUUGUCAGGCUGGCGCAUGCCGGCCUGAUGAAAGGAGACGCUGCAGGAGAGCCUUGCGUCCUAUUAGCUAGUUGGUGGGGUAACGGCCCACCAAGGCGAUGAUAGGUAGCCGGCCUGAGAGGGAGAACGGCCACAAGGGGACUGAGAUACGGCCCUUACUCCUACGGGAGGCAGCAGUGGGGAAUAUUGGACAAUGGGGGCAACCCUGAUCCAGCAAUUCUGUGUGCACGAAGAAGGUUUUCGGAUUGUAAAGUGCUUUCAGCAGGGAAGAAGAAAGUGACGGUACCUGCAGAAGAAGCGACGGCUAAAUACGUG